RNAcentral lists this small nuclear RNA (62 nucleotides) under Microcebus murinus (gray mouse lemur). RNAcentral's name for it is "U7 small nuclear RNA (ENSMICG00000045303.1)". It matches the Rfam family "U7 small nuclear RNA". From Rfam's summary of the family: Animal histone pre-mRNAs are spliced by a different mechanism than nuclear pre-mRNAs and self-splicing introns. Lineage: Eukaryota; Metazoa; Chordata; Mammalia; Primates; Cheirogaleidae. The record is from Rfam by way of RNAcentral.
AGGUGUUACAGCUCUUUUAGAAUUUGUUUAAUAGGUUUUCCAGUCUUUGCUGGAAGACCCCC